AUGAGAAUGUUGUGCUGGAACUGUCGCGGGAUUGGCGACCCAGCGACAGUACAUGAGCUCCGCGGUCUCAUGGGGGCCAGUGCGCCGUCGGUUCUUUGCAUUGUCGAGACCCAGAUUGCAAAGAAUCGAGUGGAAGGUUUGGCGGCAUCUUUAGGUUUUCAGAGUAGUUUCGCAGUAGCUAGUAGUGGGCGCAGUGGAGGUUUAUGUAUUUUCUGGAAGUCAGAAGUCAAUUUGGUAAUAAUUUUUUUUCUCAGUAUCACAUUGAUUCUUGGGUCUCGGAACUAG
This 285-nucleotide ribosomal RNA is filed under the name Triticum aestivum (bread wheat). RNAcentral describes it as "partial small subunit ribosomal RNA". The record is from RNAcentral. Lineage: Eukaryota; Viridiplantae; Streptophyta; Magnoliopsida; Poales; Poaceae.